GCGCCCUUGGUGUAGCGGUAACACACAAUCUCCUAUUAAUAUCUUGGCUGUAGUCAUAUGAUUGAGUCCGGGGUUCGAGCCCCCGAGGACGCA
Molecule: non-coding RNA, 93 nt
Organism: Mycena latifolia
Lineage: Eukaryota; Fungi; Basidiomycota; Agaricomycetes; Agaricales; Mycenaceae
Source: the annotation of a GenBank genome assembly